ACGCUGGCGGCGCGCCUAACACAUGCAAGUCGAACGAGCGAGAGAGAGCUUGCUUUCUCGAGCGAGUGGCGAACGGGUGAGUAACGCGUGAGGAACCUGCCUCAAAGAGGGGGACAACAGUUGGAAACGACUGCUAAUACCGCAUAAGCCCACGACCCGGCAUCGGGUUGAGGGAAAAGGAGUAAUCCGCUUUGAGAUGGCCUCGCGUCCGAUUAGCUAGUUGGUGAGGUAACGGCCCACCAAGGCGACGAUCGGUAGCCGGACUGAGAGGUUGAACGGCCACAUUGGGACUGAGACACGGCCCAGACUCCUACGGGAGGCAGCAGUGGGGAAUAUUGCACAAUGGGGGAAACCCUGAUGCAGCGACGCCGCGUGGAGGAAGAAGGUCUUCGGAUUGUAAACUCCUGUUGUUGGGGAAGAUAAUGACGGUACCCAACAAGGAAGUGACGGCUAACUACGUGCCAGCAGCCGCGGUAAAACGUAGGUCACAAGCGUUGUCCGGAAUUACUGGGUGUAAAGGGAGCGCAGGCGGGAAGACAAGUUGGAAGUGAAAUCCAUGGGCUUAACCCAUGAACUGCUUUCAAAACUGUUUUUCUUGAGUAGUGCAGAGGUAGGCGGAAUUCCCGGUGUAGCGGUGGAAUGCGUAGAUAUCGGGAGGACACCAGUGGCGAAGGCGGCCUACUGGGCCCCAACUGACGUGGAGGCUCGAAAGUGUGGGUAGCAAACAGGAUUAGAUACCCUGGUAGUCCACACCGUAAACGAUGAUUACUAGGUGUUGGAGGAUUGACCCCUUCAGUGCCGCAGUUAACACAAUAAGUAAUCCACCUGGGGAGUACGACCGCAAGGUUGAAACUCAAAGAAAUUGACGGGGGCCCGCACAAGCAGUGGAGUAUGUGGUUUAAUUCGACGCAACGCGAAGAACCUUACCAAGUCUUGACAUCCUGUGACAGACGUAGAAAUACGUUCUUCCUUCGGGACACAGAGACAGGUGGUGCAUGGUUGUCGUCAGCUCGUGUCGUGAGAUGUUGGGUUAAGUCCCGCAACGAGCGCAACCCUUAUGGUCAGUUACUAUGCAAGAGGACUCUGGCUAGACUGCCGUUGACAAAACGGAGGAAGGUGGGGAUGACGUCAAAUCAUCAUGCCCUUUAUGACUUGGGCUACACACGUACUACAAUGGCGUUAAACAAAGAGAAGCAAGACCGCGAGGUGGAGCAAAACUCAGAAACAACGUCCCAGUUCGGACUGCAGGCUGCAACUCGCCUGCACGAAGUCGGAAUUGCUAGUAAUCGUGGAUCAGCAUGCCACGGUGAAUACGUUCCCGGGCCUUGUACACACCGCCCG
Molecule: ribosomal RNA, 1341 nt
Filed under: uncultured bacterium
Lineage: Bacteria
Description: 16S ribosomal RNA
Rfam family: Bacterial small subunit ribosomal RNA
Source: RNAcentral